Molecule: ribosomal RNA, 438 nt
Filed under: uncultured Fulvimarina sp.
Lineage: Bacteria; Pseudomonadati; Pseudomonadota; Alphaproteobacteria; Hyphomicrobiales; Aurantimonadaceae
Description: bacterial SSU rRNA
Rfam family: Bacterial small subunit ribosomal RNA
Source: RNAcentral
AGAGUUUGAUCAUGGCUCAGAACGAACGCUGGCGGCAGGCUUAACACAUGCAAGUCGAACGGUUGUAGCAAUACAGCAGUGGCAGACGGGUGAGUAACACGUGGGAACCUUCCUAGGGGUACGGAACAACUCAGGGAAACUUGAGCUAAUACCGUAUACGUCCGUGAGGAGAAAGAUUUAUCGCCCUUAGACGGGCCCGCGUAGGAUUAGGUAGUUGGUGGGGUAAUGGCCUACCAAGCCUACGAUCCUUAGCUGAUCUGAGAGGAUGAUCAGCCACACUGGGACUGAGACACGGCCCAGACUCCUACGGGAGGCAGCAGUGGGGAAUCUUGGACAAUGGGCGCAAGCCUGAUCCAGCCAUGCCGCGUGAGUGAAGAAGGCCUUCGGGUUGUAAAGCUCUUUUACCAGGGACGAUAAUGACGGUACCUGAGAAUAGCC